AUUGAACGCUGGCGGAAUGCUUUACACAUGCAAGUCGAACGGCAGCACGGAGAGCUUGCUCUCUGGUGGCGAGUGGCGAACGGGUGAGUAAUAUAUCGGAACGUGUCCAAUAAUGGGGGAUAACGAGUCGAAAGAUUCGCUAAUACCGCAUACGCCCUACGGGGGAAAGCAGGGGAUCGUAAGACCUUGCGUUAAUGGAGCGGCCGAUAUCUGAUUAGCUUGUUGGUGAGGUAAAGGCUCACCAAGGCGA
Molecule: ribosomal RNA, 250 nt
Filed under: uncultured bacterium
Lineage: Bacteria
Description: partial 16S ribosomal RNA
Rfam family: Bacterial small subunit ribosomal RNA
Source: RNAcentral